RNAcentral lists this small nuclear RNA (134 nucleotides) under Diplodia seriata. RNAcentral's name for it is "U4 spliceosomal RNA". It matches the Rfam family "U4 spliceosomal RNA". From Rfam's summary of the family: U4 small nuclear RNA (U4 snRNA) is a component of the major U2-dependent spliceosome. The structure of U4 snRNA from yeast and human has been reported. The record is from Rfam by way of RNAcentral. Lineage: Eukaryota; Fungi; Ascomycota; Dothideomycetes; Botryosphaeriales; Botryosphaeriaceae.
GUCUUAGUGCAUGGGCUUGACGCGUGCAAGUGAGGAUUCGUCCGAUGCCGUGUUUUUGCUAGUUGAAAACUACAACUACUGACCGCUUGUGUUGGCCUUCGGGUCGGCACGGAAUAUUUGGAAACCUACCUGGC